This 29-nucleotide small RNA is filed under the name Bombyx mori (domestic silkworm). RNAcentral's name for it is "ovarian small RNA-18742". Lineage: Eukaryota; Metazoa; Arthropoda; Insecta; Lepidoptera; Bombycidae. The record is from RNAcentral.
UAACCGCGAAACCGCUUGAGACGUACAAA